GAUGAAGAACGGAGCGAAAUGCGAUACGUAGUGUGAAUUGCAGAAUUCAGUGAAUCAUCGAAUCUUUGAACGCACAUUGCGCCCUUUGGUAUUCCAAAGGGCAUGCCUGUUCGAGCGUCAUUUGUACCCUCAAGCUUUGCUUGGUGUUGGGCGUCUUGUCUCCAGUCCGCUGGAGACUCGCCUUAAAGUCAUUGGCAGCCGGCCUACUGGUUUCGGAGCGCAGCACAAGUCGCACUCUUUUCCAGCCAAGGUCAGUGUCCAACAAGCCUUUUUUCAACUUUUGACCUCGGAUCAGGUAGGGAUACCCGCUGAACUUAAGCAUAUCAAUAAGCGGAGGA
RNAcentral lists this unclassified non-coding RNA (338 nucleotides) under soil metagenome. Its description in RNAcentral is "partial contains 5.8S ribosomal RNA, internal transcribed spacer 2, and large subunit ribosomal RNA". The stretch from base 1 to 120 matches the Rfam family "5.8S ribosomal RNA", at positions 35 to 154 of the family's 154-position model. The record is from RNAcentral.